UAGGGAAUCUUCGGCAAUGGGGGGAACCCUGACCGAGCAACGCCGCGUGAGUGAAGAAGGUUUUCGGAUCGUAAAGCUCUGUUGUUAAGGAAGAACGAGUGUGAGAAUGGAAAGUUCAUGCUGUGACGGUACUUAACCAGAAAGGGACGGCUAACUACGUGCCAGCAGCCGCGGUAAUACGUAGGUCCCGAGCGUUGUCCGGAUUUAUUGGGCGUAAAGCGAGCGCAGGCGGUUAGAUAAGUCUGAAGUUAAAGGCAGUGGCUCAACCAUUGUAGGCUUUGGAAACUGUUUAACUUGAGUGCAGAAGGGGAGAGGGGAAUUCCAUGUGUAACGGUGAAAUGCGUAGAUAUAUGGAGGAACACCGGUGGCGAAAGCGGCUCUCUGGUCUGUAACUGACGCUGAGGCUCGAAAGCGUGGGGAGCGAACAGG
This 429-nucleotide ribosomal RNA is filed under the name Bacteroidota bacterium. Its description in RNAcentral is "Bacteroidetes bacterium partial 16S ribosomal RNA". It matches the Rfam family "Bacterial small subunit ribosomal RNA", at positions 355 to 776 of the family's 1533-position model. The record is from RNAcentral. Lineage: Bacteria; Pseudomonadati; Bacteroidota.